Long non-coding RNA from Eubalaena glacialis (North Atlantic right whale), 2569 nucleotides. RefSeq lists it as uncharacterized. The record is from RefSeq and is a predicted model, not a curated record. Lineage: Eukaryota; Metazoa; Chordata; Mammalia; Artiodactyla; Balaenidae. The transcript has 3 exons.
GGAGAAGGCGGUGAUUGGGUGGCUUUGGCCAGCCUCUGCGGGAGUAUUGAGUUCUCUUAAGUCUUGCGGAAGGUGGGUGACUGCGCUGUGCCGGGAGAGCGCGCAGGUUAGGCGUUCAUAGUCACCGAACAGGAGGGCAAAUUUCAAACAUGCGCAAAAGCAGAGAGAAAAGUCUAAUGAACACCCAUCACGCAGCUUCGGCAGUUAACCGGCAUGCGGCCAUUCUCGUUCCAUCCAUGUCCUGCGCCUUGGCCUCCCCUGCUCAGUUAAUCUGAAAGCAAAUCCAGGUCUCAAGAUGUCUCCUCCUCCAGGAAGCCCCCUUGAGCCCCCAGGGUGGGUCAGGUAUCCGUUUUGGGCUUCUGCUCUCUGGGUUUCCCCCAUCCCAGCCCUGACCAUCUGUGAUGUCAGCGUCUUAAACGUCUGUCUUCCGGAGAUUGGAGACAAGAUGGCGGAGUAGAAGGACUUGAGCUCACCUCCUCUCAUGAAAACAUCAAAAUCACAACUAACUGCUGAACAACCAUCAACAAAAAAAGACUGGAACCUACCAGAAAAGAUAUUCUAUGUCCAAAGACAAAGAAGAAGCCACAGGGAGACAGUAGGAGGGACACUUUCACGACAUAAAUGUCUGUCUCCCUCUUUAGAAAGAUAAAUGCAUGAGGAUGGGGACAAAGUCUGUUCUGGUCACCACUUUUAUCUCCAGAACCUGGCACAGAGUCAGUAAUAUCUGUUAACUGAAUUAAGAAAUGACAAGUAAGAUGUGGGUCAUGCGCACUUGUAACUCUUGAACUGGACCAUGAAGCCAGCUCUCGAGGUCUUGUUUUGAUGUGCCCUGACAUCAGCGCAGCAUUUUGAACUGCUUUAACUUUUAUUGGGUGUACAGUAGACAUGUUGUGAAUCUCAUCAGCACAUGCACCAGGUGAGAUGUCCAAGGAAGUAUGUAAUAGCACUGACAGCAAAAAAUCGGAAACCUGAUGUCCACUAAAAGGAGAAUGGAUAAAUUGUAUAUUCACACAGUGGAAUAUUAUGCAGCAAUGAAAAGGAAGGAACUACAGGUGCACAAGAAAAAUAAUGUGUGAAAGGAGCAAAAUUCAGAAGAUUUCAUAUAGGAUGAUACUAUUUUAUAAAGCUCAAAACCAAGCACACCGAAUUAUUGUUUAGGCAUUUGAAAAUAUGUGAUAAAACUGUAUCUUAAAAUAGCAAGGGGGAGAGGGAAUCUUUUGGGAUUGGUUGCACUGUGCAGUUAAAAUGGGUAUAGUUUAUUGUGCGUAAAUUAUACCUCAGGAAAGCUGAAUUAAAAAGGAGAGUGGGCAGAACAGACUACCUGUUGUGCCUCUGGAUAUACUGUGUAAGGAGGUGAUGCUGGGGGCAAAUGCCACCAUAUGGUGACUCACCUGUCAUGCUGAGGAGGUCAGGCAGAAGAAAGGACUUGAGCCACCUAAUCACUGAGCCAGGUAAGGGACUUUGCUUCCUGUGCUAUGUCUCCAGUUCCAGUUCCAUGCCUGGUGAUUAUUUGGCGCUCAAUAAACAUAGGUACUUUUAAGUAAAAUUCUUUUGGAAGUAAAAUAUAAUUUUCUUAACUGUUUGAAUUUAACAACCCCCAAAACACCUUGCCUCUGGAGUGCUUGCUGUGUGAAGUAACGCAUUUCCUUCUGAUUCAAGCCCUUUUGACUUGGAUCCUCUUAUCUGUAGCCAAACACAUCUUAACUGGUGACCACGUGGUGAGUGAGUUAACUGCUAACAUUUUAGGGGUGUUAAAAAACAAAAUUUAUGGGGGGUGGGGUGGAAGGGAGGCUCAAGAGGGAGGGGAUGUAUGUAUACAUAUAGCUGAUUCACUUUGUUCUACAGCAGAAACCAACCCAACAUUGUAAAGCAAUUAUGCUCCAAUUAAAAAAAAAUAAAGACUUUUAAAAGAAAAAAAUUUUCCCUGGGUAAAUUGAGAUCUAAUUGGCGCUAUUUAAAAAUUCAUGAAUUGGGCAGCAUUCUAUAUGGCAGACAGAUAUUCCUGGAAGUUACACAACAUGGAAGGCUUUUGUAGUAAGGAGGAUGGGACAAGGAAACGAAGUUAUCAGCAAGGAAGAAAUGAAAGUUCAUUGGCGGAAAACAAAAGUUGAGGUGACCCUGGCUUCUCACUGGCUGAGCUGUGGUGUUUUCCAUUGGCUGGGCUUGUUGCAAGACAAGAAGGAAGGCUUCCUUCCCCCUGCUAGGGUAGUAAAGUAGUUGUGCUUCCUGUUUGGGAGUGCAAGGUACCUCUCUUCCUGCUGGGGUCAGUAACUGGCAUCUUCCUGUCUGGGUAAUUGGUACUCCUCCUGUCUGAGGUAAUUGACAAUGAGUGGUAGGGCAUGAGACCUCCCUCUACAGGCCUCUCUGACUCCAAUUUUAGUUGGUUUCCUUUUAUUAAUUUUCACAGGGGAACUAAGUUUAGGGAGGUUUGUUAAGCAGCAGUAGGUAACUGAUACACCCCCCUCUCCCCAAGGAUAACCACUGUGCUGACUUCUAAUGCUGUAGUGUUUUUUUUUUUUCCCCAAUUCUUUACUUUGUAUAAAAGAAAUAAUAAAGUGUUAUCAACCUC